GGGGAUUUAGCUCAGUGGUAGAGCGCUUGCCUAGCAAGCACAAGGCCCUGGGUUCAGACCACAGCUCCG
This 69-nucleotide transfer RNA is filed under the name Rattus norvegicus (Norway rat). It matches the Rfam family "tRNA". Rfam says of the family: Transfer RNA (tRNA) molecules are approximately 80 nucleotides in length. Their secondary structure includes four short double-helical elements and three loops (D, anti-codon, and T loops). The record is from Rfam by way of RNAcentral. Lineage: Eukaryota; Metazoa; Chordata; Mammalia; Rodentia; Muridae.